CUACGGGACGCACCAGUGGGGAAUAUUGGACAAUGGGGGAAACCCUGAUCCAGCAAUGCCGCGUGUGUGAAGAAGGCCUGCGGGUUGUAAAGCACUUUCGGUUGGGAGGACUGCUUCUAGCACUAAUAUUGUUGGAAGUUGACGUUACCUUCAGAAGAAGCACCGGCUAACUCCGUGCCAGCAGCCGCGGUAAUAGCGGAGGGUGCAAGCGUUAAUCGGAAUUACUGGGCGUAAAGCGCGCGUAGGCGGCUAGAUCAGUCGGGUGUGAAAGCCCCGGGCUUAACCUGGGAACUGCAUCCGAUACUGUCUAGCUUGAGUACAGGAGAGGAGAGUGGAAUUCCACAUGUAGCGGUGAAAUGCGUAGAUAUGUGGAGGAACACCAAUGGCGAAGGCAGCUCUCUGGCCUGAUACUGACGCUGAGGUGCGAAAGCGUGGGGAGCAAACAGGAUUAGAUACCCCCGUAGUC
This 466-nucleotide ribosomal RNA is filed under the name uncultured bacterium. RNAcentral's name for it is "partial 16S ribosomal RNA". It matches the Rfam family "Bacterial small subunit ribosomal RNA", at positions 339 to 795 of the family's 1533-position model. The record is from RNAcentral.